Molecule: long non-coding RNA, 3618 nt
Organism: Apodemus sylvaticus (European woodmouse)
Lineage: Eukaryota; Metazoa; Chordata; Mammalia; Rodentia; Muridae
Exons: 3
Source: RefSeq, a predicted model, not a curated record
AGCACUUGCUGCCGCCGGGGAUUUUAGUGAGAAUAUGAACUGUAAUGGGAUUGAUUAAUCGCUUUGGAAACGUGCUGGAGAACUUGAGGCAGGAAAGUGACGAGCUCGGGGUCCAUCCAUAUAAGGAAACUCCCCUGUGAGGGAGAACCCCCGGAGCCUGACAGAUUCAGUGAAGAGAGAAACAGAGUCAGCAGAUGAUUUACAGGCUGGGUGGAAAGAAGCACUGCAUUCGCUGAGGGGGCAACCGGUGGCGCGUCACGUGGGAGGCAUCUGCGCGCAGAUGCACAUCACUUUGGAAACCACUCACGUGCAUGGUCGCUAUCAUAAGAAUGGAAGAGAGACACAGGAAAAAGAGCGGAAAACAGUAGGUAAAGGCAGACCUGGAGGCCCCAACACAGGCAGGCGAGAAAGCACCCACAAAAGAGGCUGAAGCUGGAAGACUCCUGUGGAGGAUGGUGUCACCAAAAGCCAAAGAAACAGCAACUGAAGAAGCUUACCAGCUGCCAUCAAGCUGGCCACAAUGUGGGUGUGGUGGUUCACCCUAUAACCCGAACAAACACCGGGGAGGCUGAGGCAGAAAGAUUGAGACCAGCUUAGGCUAUUCAGAUAUAGGCUUGCCCUAUGUCAAAACAAACAGAUAAAGACCUCAAAUGUGUGUGGAGGAUGAUAAACGGAAUGAGCCAAAACUGAAAGAGAUUUUUAAAAUACCCACUGCUUUCCUAAGGAACAUCUGGAAAGCAGCGCAAGAUGGGGACCUUGGGAGGUGUCUGUCAAUAGGAACAUCUGUCUAUCCACCAGCUCUCCUUUUUUUAGACGAGAGUACUUGCUUUGCUUGGGGAUGUUUGACUUGAGGACAGCACAAAGAAUUUAAGAAGUGUUCUUUUCCAUGAGUGUGGGAGGCAGUGCUGGCUGAGGGGCGGAAACAGGAAGCUGGCUGAUGCCUCCAUUUCCUGGAUGGACCACGGAGCAGUUGUUCUCAGGGGAAGACGAUAGCUGAGGAACGGAGAGUUGUCUGGGGGUGGACACCAGAGUCCUGUAAGAGAGGGACAUUCGGUUGGAUGUCACAAAGCCGUGUGUGCGCCUUUUUUUCUGUGCAUCUCUGAGAAUAUCCUUUUAAAUGCCUGAUUCUCUGGGGACAAAGUCUAAACAUUAUGCUGAGAGCUAACCAGACCUGCGUGGACACAACAGAAUCCAGCGUCUUAGCAACUUGCUACUAGCAGUCUGCUGUGCACUUCACUGUAAAACUUCAUGGUCAUAGAUUGAAGUCCCAUCUUUGGGAGAAGUGGAAAUCUGGAUAUGUGGGCACUAGCUGUGGGAACAUAAACAGGCAAGAGCACGUGAGACGGCAGUGUGGGAACUGUGUCUGUAGCCCACCUGGCAGAAUGAAUGCUUGCAACAACGCACACGAGGCCUUGGGUUAGAUCCCCAACACUAUAGACACCAGGAGUACUUGCACAUGCCUGUAAUCCCAGCACUAAGGAUACAGAGGCAGGGUUAGAAGUAUAAGGUCGCCCUUAGCUACACAGUGAGUUCAAGUCCAGCCUAGGCUAUUUGAGACUGUCUUAGAGCUGAAUAAAGAAUAAAAACAAGCAGAACUAAAACUGAACAACAAAAGAAUGAGGUGAGAAUGGGGCCACCGGGAAGUCAGAGAGAGAAGCGUAAGCCUCUAACCACCAAAGCUGUGGGAAAUUUAUGUUGCUCAAAAGCCCCGCCUGUAGUAUUUUGACAUGGCACUCUAAGUAAUCACUGAUACAAUGGAGAUUUUAAAAUAAUACACAUAAAUCCUUAACCACAUGAGUACUUAGUAAAAAGUUAUUACACUCAUUAAAAGAUCUCAGAUCAGGGAAUUAAGGGGAUACUGAAAUGGAUUGGGGGGGAUUGAAGUUUAAUAAAAGAGUUAUUAAUGCCACAGACAGACAAAUAAACAACACAGGUUCAGGCCCCAGCACCAGAAGGAGACAGCAUGAUAGAGGCUCUGAAGAGAGACCCAGGGUUUUUUUUUUAAUUUUUUAAUUUUUUACUCGAUAUAUUUUUUAUUUACAUUUCAAAUGAUUUCCCCUUUUCUGGCCCACUCCCUGAAAGUCCCAUAAGCCCUCUUCCCUCCCCCUGUUCUCCCACCCAUCCCUUCCCACUUGCCUGUUCUGGUUUUUCCCUAUACUGCUAUACUGAGUGUUUCCAGAACCAGGCCACUCCUCCGUUCUUCUUGUACCUCAUUUGAUGUGUGGAUUAUGUUUUGGGUAUUCUAAUUUUCUAGGCUAAUAUCCACUUAUUAGUGAGUGCAUACCAUGAUUGACCUUUUGAGACUAGGUUACAUUUCUAAUGAGCUCCUGGUGAACUCUGCUAUAUUAGGCAGAAGACCACACCGGGCUACACUGAAGACACAGGAUGUAUAGUUCCAAGGGGAGCUAUUAUUGUUCGAUACACAAGACAUAGAGUCACCAUCAAAAGGGGUUGGAAAACACUCGCUAAACCGGAUCCCAUAGUCAUAUAAACAGUGAUUAGAGAUUGCAGGACCAUAGUGGUAUGUUUAUAAUUCAAGGCCAAGUUAGGGUGCUGGGACAGGUGAGGUUACUUGAGGGAGUCGUGAAGAAAUCAAGGAACCUGCCCCCAUUCUGUGUGGGGAAUAAAGAAACCUUUCUCUCUAGGAGAACGCAUCUGGGCUAACAAGUCUCUCUCCGCCAGGCUGUAUUCAGCUCCUUCCGCUCCUCUCUAAGGACAGGUGUAACAGGUUGCUGCCGCUCCAGGGGAGGGGAGGAGAAAAGGGUUUGGGUGGGUGUAUGGCACUGUUUACACUCCUGCUAGCUAAUAUUUGGUUUCCUUAUCUUUGGAAAGCUUGCUGGCUGCCGGUGUCAGCUGGGAGGCCACCCGAUCCCAAUCAGAACCCAAAGUCUUUAAGGAAGUUAGUGUCCUCCUGUGGAUCUGCAGUGAGGCUUUGACAAGAGAGAGUAGUACCACGGGCACUUGACCUCAGGUUACCUGCUAUUAACAUCUUUGCCAGAAGCCCCACAUCUUCACUAGUGGAACUCUAGCUAUGCUCUGAAAAAAAAAAAAAAAAAAGUCCCUUUUGAUCUGAGACUUGAUAGCCCAGGUACCUACGUAAACUCAAAUAACAUUAGCCUCAAAUGAAGAAUGUAUAUGUGAUAAAAUGAUUCUUAAUGACAUUCUGAUAUACUUAUAGAUCAGUGUCUUCUUCAACCAUCAUCAGUCACUUCCUACCGCAGUAGAUGGGAACAAAUCAAAUAUGGAGAUCCACAGCUUGGCGUCACACAGAGAGUUAGAGACCUGGGAACACCCCACCUUAAAUGGGAGGUCUUCAUUGAAUCCCUUCCCUCAGGGCUCAGAGAACCCCAUGGAGCAGGAUGGGGAAAGAGGCAGAGGGUAUGGCGGACACCCAGUCAGAGACAGAAGCAGCAAGCAUGGGCUUGGCACCAGGUCCUCGGUUGUAGCUAUCAUGGCUCCCAGUGCAGUGUUCUUCUAUUACGGCUUCCAGUUCAGUGUUUUUAGGGGAUUCCUGAGUGUGUAAACAAGGUCUUGAUUCUUAUCCCUUCACUUGGGCUCUUUGUCCUUCUGUUGGUUUGUCUUGUACAAUUUUAAUAAGAUCAUUUCUCUUUUAUCUUA